CUGGCCAAACAACCCUGUAAAAACCUGAUCUCAUCAGAUCUGUGAAGCUCAGCAGGGACAGGCCUGGUUAGGAUCUGGAUGGGAGACCAGUGGGAAUAUCAGAGACCACAGUGU
Molecule: ribosomal RNA, 114 nt
Filed under: Periophthalmus magnuspinnatus
Lineage: Eukaryota; Metazoa; Chordata; Actinopteri; Gobiiformes; Gobiidae
Source: RNAcentral